UAGAACUCUGAAGGGAUCCUAGUACCUGCCCUUGGAAUCAAAUGUUUGCCAUCUUGGCAACCUAGCAACUAGCUGACUGUGCAGGCUUCAUCAACAGCUGAGACUUGGUUGCCAGGGCAACCUGCAGGAAGAGUGAGCCCUUUGGACCAAUGAUAAAAGGUUUUCUCCACUCAACUCGUACCUGUCAUGGGCUGAAUGCUUGUGCUCCCUUGUCAUUGGUCAGGUCUGAAGAAGUCCCACCAAUGGAGAGAAUGGAGACUUCAACUCACCUCCACCCACAGACGCCUUCUUCAAGAACCCUAAAUGCUUUACAGACAUUAUUUCUAAUUAAUCCCCACAACAACCCUGUGAGGUAGGUAUUAC
Non-coding RNA from Heterocephalus glaber (naked mole-rat), 363 nucleotides. Lineage: Eukaryota; Metazoa; Chordata; Mammalia; Rodentia; Bathyergidae. The record is from RefSeq and is a predicted model, not a curated record.